This 512-nucleotide ribosomal RNA is filed under the name uncultured bacterium. Its description in RNAcentral is "partial 16S ribosomal RNA". It matches the Rfam family "Bacterial small subunit ribosomal RNA", at positions 28 to 507 of the family's 1533-position model. The record is from RNAcentral.
GAUGAACGCUGGCGGCGUGCCUAAUACAUGCAAGUCGAACGAAACUUCUUUAUCACCGAGUGCUUGCACUCACCGAUAAAGAGUUGAGUGGCGAACGGGUGUGUAACACGUGGGCAACCUGCCCAAAAGAGGGGGAUAACACUUGGAAACAGGUGCUAAUACCGCAUAACCAUAGUUACCGCAUGGUAACUAUGUAAAAGGUGGCUAUACUACCGCUUUUGGAUGGGCCCGCGGCGCAUUAGCUAGUUGGUAGGGUAAAGGCUUACCAAGGCAAUGAUGCGUAGCCGAAUUGAGAGGUUGAUCGGCCACAUUGGGACUGAGACACGGCCCAAACUCCUACGGGAGGCAGCAGUAGGGAAUCUUCCACAAUGGGCGAAAGCCUGAUGGAGCAACGCCGCGUGGGUGAAGAAGGUCUUCGGAUCGUAAAACCCUGUUGUUAGAGAAGAAAGUGCGUGAGAGUAACUGUUCACGUUUCGACGGUAUCUAACCAGAAAGCCACGGCUAACUACGUG